ACGAACUCUGCCUUCCCUCUUUCAAAAAUGGGAGCCAAGCUGCCGCAUUUGCUACGGAGCUGCACAAACCAUUGCCCUUGUCUACUCACCGCAGCACAUUCGUGAGCAUCUGGUGCAGCAACUAGGGAGGGGACUUCCACCCAGAUUCUGCUACCUUUACUCACCGUGAGUAGCCUGUUACUCCAUCUUGCACGGCUUUGCACAUACGCACCUACCUGCCGAGGAGAGCUUCAUGUGCGGGAAAUCAGGAGGGAGAGCUGUGCGUUCAGUGUCACGGUUUGCUCACAGGGAGCUCCUCAAGCAAAGCAGGCUGUCAGGGUCGGCGUGUUUUCCAGACCAUGACAAGCUACAGCAAUAUGAGAGAAGGAAAGGGUUUAUUUGCUGCUGGGAAUAGAGGAGCUGAUCCUUGAAGUGGCCUCAAAUAUGGUUCUCACCCUCACAGCCUGCAGAAAAGCAACUUGGCGCUUUAUCUUGUCCCUAAUCUAUCCAUCUCCCCCACCCAUGCUAGCUCUGGC
Molecule: long non-coding RNA, 515 nt
Organism: Alligator sinensis (Chinese alligator)
Lineage: Eukaryota; Metazoa; Chordata; Crocodylia; Alligatoridae
Exons: 3
Source: RefSeq, a predicted model, not a curated record